This 473-nucleotide ribosomal RNA is filed under the name uncultured bacterium. RNAcentral describes it as "bacterial SSU rRNA". It matches the Rfam family "Bacterial small subunit ribosomal RNA", at positions 355 to 825 of the family's 1533-position model. The record is from RNAcentral.
UGGGGAAUUGUUCACAAUGGGCGCAAGCCUGAUGACGCAACGCCGCGUGGGGGAUGAAGGUCUUCGGAUCGUAAACCCCUGUCGAAUGGGACGAAAGACUCGCGAGUGAAUACUUCGCGAGAGUGACGGUACCGUUAAAGGAAGCCACGGCUAACUCUGUGCCAGCAGCCGCGGUAAUACAGAGGGUGCGAGCGUUAAUCGGAAUUACUGGGCGUAAAGCGCACGUAGGUGGCGACGUAAGUCGGGUGUGAAAGCCCCGGGCUCAACCUGGGAACCGCAUUCGAGACUGUGUUGCUGGAGUACGGAAGAGGAGGGCGGAAUUCCCGGUGUAGCGGUGAAAUGCGUAGAUAUCGGGAGGAACAUCAGUGGCGAAGGCGGCCCUCUGGUCCAGUACUGACACUCAAGUGCGAAAGCGUGGGGAGCAAACAGGAUUAGAUACCCAAGUAGUCCCUGAGCGGGCUGGCAAGGCGCAU